RNAcentral lists this ribosomal RNA (336 nucleotides) under uncultured bacterium. RNAcentral's name for it is "partial 16S ribosomal RNA". It matches the Rfam family "Bacterial small subunit ribosomal RNA", at positions 338 to 685 of the family's 1533-position model. The record is from RNAcentral.
CCUACGGGUGGCAGCAGUCGAGAAUCAUUCACAAUGGGGGAAACCCUGAUGGUGCGACGCCGCGUGGGGGAAUGAAGGUCUUCGGAUUGUAAACCCCUGUCAUGUGGGAGCAAAUUAAAAAGAUAGUACCACAAGAGGAAGAGACGGCUAACUCAGUGCAAGCAGCCGCGGUAAUACAGAGGUCUCAAGCGUUGAUCGGAAUCACUGGGCGUAAAGCGUGCGGGGGCGGUUUCGAAGGUCGUGUGUGAAAGGCGCGGGCUAAACCCGCGGACGGCACAUGAUACUGCGAGAUUAGGGUAAUGGAGGGGGAACCGAAAUUCUCGGUGUAGCAGUGAA